This 84-nucleotide transfer RNA is filed under the name Fibrobacteraceae bacterium. RNAcentral's name for it is "tRNA-Leu". It matches the Rfam family "tRNA". From Rfam's summary of the family: Transfer RNA (tRNA) molecules are approximately 80 nucleotides in length. Their secondary structure includes four short double-helical elements and three loops (D, anti-codon, and T loops). Further hydrogen bonds mediate the characteristic L-shaped molecular structure. tRNAs have two regions of fundamental functional importance: the anti-codon, which is responsible for specific mRNA codon recognition, and the 3' end, to which the tRNAs corresponding amino acid is attached (by aminoacyl-tRNA synthetases). tRNAs cope with the degeneracy of the genetic code in two manners: having more than one tRNA (with a specific anti-codon) for a particular amino acid; and 'wobble' base-pairing, i.e. permitting non-standard base-pairing at the 3rd anti-codon position. The record is from RNAcentral. Lineage: Bacteria; Pseudomonadati; Fibrobacterota; Fibrobacteria; Fibrobacterales; Fibrobacteraceae.
GCGGAUGUGGUGGAAUUGGUAGACACGCUAGAUUCAGAUUCUAGUGCUCGCAAGGGCGUGGAGGUUCAAGUCCUCUCAUCCGCA